GAUGAACGCUCGCGGGAGGCCUAACACAUGCAAUCCGAGCGGUAGAGUUCCUUCGGGAACUUGAGAGCGGCGUACGGUUGCGUAACACGUGUGCAACCUACCUUUAUCUCUGGGAUAUCCUUUCUAACUUAAGAUUAAUACCCCAUAAUAUAAUGAUUGGCAUCAAUUAUUAUUGAAAACUCCUGUUGAUCGAGAUGGACACGCGCGAGAUUAGAUAGUUGGUGAGGUAACGGCUCACGAAGUCAAUGAUCUUUAGUGGUACUGAGAGGGAGAUCACCCACGCGGGUACUGGGACACGGACCAGACGGCUACGGGAGGAAGUAGUGAGGAAGAGUGGACGAUGGAUGGAAGCCUGAUAGAGCCACUCCGCGUGAAGGAUGACGGGUCUAUGGAUUGUAAACUUCGUUUGAACAGGGAUAAACCUACUCUCGAGAGGGUAGCUGAAGGUACUGUACGAAUAAGCACCGGAUAACUCCGUG
Molecule: ribosomal RNA, 479 nt
Filed under: uncultured bacterium
Lineage: Bacteria
Description: partial 16S ribosomal RNA
Rfam family: Bacterial small subunit ribosomal RNA
Source: RNAcentral